This 338-nucleotide unclassified non-coding RNA is filed under the name soil metagenome. RNAcentral's name for it is "partial contains 5.8S ribosomal RNA, internal transcribed spacer 2, and large subunit ribosomal RNA". The stretch from base 1 to 120 matches the Rfam family "5.8S ribosomal RNA", at positions 35 to 154 of the family's 154-position model. The record is from RNAcentral.
GAUGAAGAACGUAGCGAAAUGCGAUAAGUAAUGUGAAUUGCAGAAUUCAGUGAAUCAUCGAAUCUUUGAACGCACAUUGCGCCCCCUGGUAUUCCGGGGGGCAUGCCUGUCCGAGCGUCAUUACAACCAUCAAGCCCCAGCGCUUGUGUUGGGGGCCUGCGGCUGCCGCAGCCCCCUAAAAGCAGUGGCGGGCUCGCUAUCACACCGAGUGCAGUAGUUCAUCUUCUCUCCGGUCUUGUGAGGCGGGUUCCGGCCGUGAAACACCCCACUACAUUCAAGGUUGACCUCGGAUCAGGUAGGAAUACCCGCUGAACUUAAGCAUAUCAAUAAGCGGAGGA